Molecule: long non-coding RNA, 3313 nt
Organism: Caretta caretta (loggerhead turtle)
Lineage: Eukaryota; Metazoa; Chordata; Testudines; Cheloniidae
Source: RefSeq, a predicted model, not a curated record
AUCAGCGGGCUGCCCCGCGGCACCGGGGCCACCUAAGCGGCUGCUCUGCGCCGGGCGAGGCGGGUUCCAAGGGGAUCAAGGGAGCGGCGGGUGCUCGGAGGAUGCGGAGGCCUCCCUGUUUUCUUGGUAGAGUCGAUCCGCACUCAGUCUGACCCAGGACGUCACUCUGCCUGUCUGUUUUCUCAAUGAUAACUUGGCAGGAGAAGGGGGAAGCUGCCAGGUUUUCCCUGGGCUCAUAACCUGGGGAGCCAAGCGACCUGGGGUUCUGCUGCCAGCUCUGUCACUGACUUACCAUAUGACCCUGGACAAAUCACUUCACCACUCUGUGACUCAGCAUCUUUGUAUGGACAGGGUGAUAGUGAUACUUACCGUCCUGUCAAGCCCUUUGAGAUCAACAAAUGAAGUCCCCUAUGACUACUAAUGGUAGUAAGCACCAUGCCUGAUACGUGUUUUCAGAAUCCAAGCCCCUAAAUUAAGACAGAAGUGGAGAUGACAACAUGAUUAUGCAUUCACUGGAGAAGCUAUUCCAUGUGGCUUGGAUCCAAUCCAAUCCCUGUGGAAGUCAACGGAAAGACUCCUAUUGAUGUUAUUCUUAGCUAUCCAGACAGUUUUGACUAGCUGCUUCCAGGGAAGAGACAGAACUCCAAAUGACCCAAGUGAAGGUUUCUCUGUGGAGGUACACAUCCUUCUCGCAAAUCACUUUAAAAUGGCUUUCUACUUUCUGGCUUUAUAAAGUCAUCUUCAGCAAGCUGCAUCAAAGAAGACCUCAAGACCUGGUUUGCUUGUCCCCUUUUUAAAGGACCCUAACAAUGCAUUCCUCCAAAAGGCAAAAGAGACAGUCAAAAGAUUUCUGCAUAAAAAUCAAUAUAUUAUCUGUUCACUUCCAUUUGGGCUUCAUUCUGCCACAUUUAUUCAUGCUGAGUAUGUAUUGCUGGGUUGGAAAUGUUUUUCCCAUCCUGCAAAUAGUUUUGAGAUUCAAAACAUUUUCUCAGUCCAAAUUGAGAUGAAAAGUUGAUAUCUCAAAAUUUUCUGUGAACUGAACCCCUCAAAAAAGUUUGGUUCAGGUCAAUCAAAAGUUUUUGUUAUGACUCUUUUUUCCUGUAAAUUAACUUAAAUUUUGAAAUGUAAAGACACUUCAGACCUCUAAAAAGGAUGUUUUGACAAUUUCAAAAUGUUUUUCUAAUUUUUUUAAAAGGAGAUAUUAGUUAAAAUCAACCUUUACCCACAAAAUAUUUUGCAUUCAAUGAAUCAGCAUUUUCCAACAAAAAAAGUUUCAUCAAAAAAUUCUUGACCAGCACUACUGAGUAGUACUUUAUUCCAUGAGUAUUCCUGCAAAUAAUUAUUAAUGAACAUUUUUAUUUCAAUAAAUAUUGAAAUAAAUACGGCUAGGUGCUGUACAAAUACAGAUAAAGUGGCAGUCUCUGAUUCAAAGAGUUUACAGUCUAGAAUGGGAUUAUUCCUGGAGUAAGAUACUACUUAAUGUGAAGGGCAGGAGCAGACUCUGAAACUCACUCUAAGUUUUAACCUCCUUUGGCAUAAGAGAUUCAUAGAUUCCAAGGCCAGAAGGGACCACGAUAGUCAUCGAGUCUGACCUCCUGUAACACAGACCAUAGAACUUCCCUGAAAAAAUUCCUAGAGCAUGUAUCUUUCAGAAAAGCAUCCGAUCUUGAUUUAAAAAACUGUCAGUGAUGGAGUAUUCACCAUGACGCUUGGUAAACUGCUGCAAUGGAUAACUUAAGAAUAUAAGAACAGCCAUACUGGGUCAGACCAAUGGUCCAUCUAUCCCAGUAUCCUGUCUUCUGACAGUGGUCAAUGCCAGGUGUUUCACAGGGAAUGAACAGAACAGGUAAUAAUCGAGUGACCCAUCCCAUUGCCCAUUCCCAGCUUCUGGCAAACAGGAACACCAUCCCGGCACAUCCUGGUAAUAGCUAUUGAUGGACCUUUCCUCCAUGAAUUUAUCUAGUUAUUUUUUGAACCCUGUUACUGUCUUGGCCUUCACAACAUCGUCUGGCAAGGAGUUCCACAGAUUGACUGUGCAUUGUGUGAAGAAAUACUUCCUUUUGUUUGUUUUAAACCUGCUGCCUAUUAAUUUUAUUUGGUGACCCCUAGUUCUUGUGUUCUGAGAAGGAGUAUAUUACACUUCCUUUUUUACUUUCUCCACUCCAGUCAUGAUUUUAUAGACCUCUAUCAUAUUCCCCCUUAGUCAUCUCUUUUCCAAGCUGAAAAGCUCCAGACUGACUCUCCUUAUGUGGAAGCUAUUCCAUAUCCCUAAUAAUUUUUGUUGCCCUUUUCUGAACCUUUUCCUAUUCCAAUAUAUCCUUUUUUGAGAUGGGAUGACCAAACCUGCGUGCAGUAUUCAAGAUUUGGGCAUAGCAGGGAUUUAUAUAGAGGCAAUAUGAUAUUUUCCAUCUUACUUUCACUAUUAAAAAUGUACACCUUGUUUCCACUCUGAAUUUGUCUCUUAUUACUUCAUGUGCUGUUUCUAAAUGCUAGAAUUUAUUCUAGAAGUCCACACAUCUAUUUUCAUAAAUAAAUAAUAAAAAUAGUCACUUCCCCCCAUGAAAUAAGAUAUAUUUAUACUUGUGGUUAAAAAGACAAAAACACUAUUGCUCACAAAUGAUUUUCUUCUGCUAAUUUACAAUUUUUCAUUAUUCUAAGCUGAAUUCCAUUGUCAUAUAAUCAUAAACUGUAGGUCAUCCAUAAAUAUAAAAAGGCCACCUGUGUUGUGAAAUUUGCAGAAUGACAUGUCGAGAGUCCUAGAGAGUCUAAGUAUCUGCACCUGUAAUUUUCCAGCAAUUUGUAUAUUCCACAGCGUAUAAAAUACUCUGAGUUGCAUUUUACAUCUGCCCUUGGCAGUUAUAGGUUUAAGAUGUGAAAUAAACUCAACAUGAUUUCCUUAACAUUUGUGUAUUGCAAACAGAAAAGUCAGGUCAUUUUAUGGGGUUUGUGGGAAAAUGAGUUGCUAACUGGAGACUGGACAAUCAAAACUAAUGGACCAUUAGAACGUUUUCUGUACUCCCGUGAAGAAAGUCACAGCCCUUCUUCAGCUCUAACAUUAGCCUAUCAUCAAAAUGAUGUUUUAAUUGAGUCUGAAUCAUAGUUUUUCAGAUCUUUCCAUUCCAUGAAAAAAAAUUGUAUUUUAAGUUUUCAUUCCAAUUUGGAAUGAAAGCAAAUUUUGAAAUAUUGCAAUUUCUAGUGGGAUGGAAACUCCCAUUUUCAACCAGCUCUACCAUUAGUUGCUAUCUUAUUUCUCUAUUGAAAUGUCAUACUGUUCUCUAGACAACAAAUAAAAUACAACAAUAAGAAUAUCAAG